RNAcentral lists this ribosomal RNA (469 nucleotides) under uncultured bacterium. RNAcentral describes it as "partial 16S ribosomal RNA". It matches the Rfam family "Bacterial small subunit ribosomal RNA", at positions 28 to 508 of the family's 1533-position model. The record is from RNAcentral.
GACGAACGCUGGCGGCGUGCUUAACACAUGCAAGUCGAACGGAAAGGCCCUGCUUUUGUGGGGUGCUCGAGUGGCGAACGGGUGAGUAACACGUGAGUAACCUGCCCUUGACUUUGGGAUAACUUCAGGAAACUGGGGCUAAUACCGGAUAGGAGCUCCUGCUGCAUGGUGGGGGUUGGAAAGUUUCGGCGGUUGGGGAUGGACUCGCGGCUUAUCAGCUUGUUGGUGGGGUAGUGGCUUACCAAGGCUUUGACGGGUAGCCGGCCUGAGAGGGUGACCGGCCACAUUGGGACUGAGAUACGGCCCAGACUCCUACGGGAGGCAGCAGUGGGGAAUAUUGCACAAUGGGCGGAAGCCUGAUGCAGCAACGCCGCGUGCGGGAUGACGGCCUUCGGGUUGUAAACCGCCUUCGCCUGUGACGAAGCGUGAGUGACGGUAAUGGGUAAAGAAGCACCGGCUAACUACGUGC